This is a long non-coding RNA of Triticum aestivum (bread wheat), 5013 nucleotides long. RefSeq lists it as uncharacterized. Lineage: Eukaryota; Viridiplantae; Streptophyta; Magnoliopsida; Poales; Poaceae. The transcript has 2 exons. The record is from RefSeq and is a predicted model, not a curated record.
UUAAAGAAAUGGAGGGCCAAAACUAAAGAAGAAAGGGAUCUACUUGAGGCUGAAGAAGAGAAGAAGGAGGGAAAAAGUGCAAAAUGGCAGAUCAGGGAGGGGAUCAAAAUCCCUAGCAGCCUCCAUUUCCAAAGUGAGCCUGGCACACAUCUCUCUCCCUCAUCCCUCCUUCUCCACCUCCGGCCAUCACCGCAGCCAGGCCGGCGUGGCGGUGCGCCACCAGCUCCACCACUCCACCACAACCAGCAUCACCACCCAUCCAUCCAUCGCGCGCCCAACGCCCGUGCUGCCCUCUUCCCCCAUGUCCCUGCUGCCCUUCUACUCCUCCUCUUGCUGUUGUCUUCUUCCCUGAACUCCUAACCCUGCUAUUGCUCUUCUCCUUCUUCUUCUCUCAACGCUCCUGCUGCUCCUUCUCCUUGCAUCCCCUUGCUGCUGUUGCCUCAACCUGCUGCUUCUCUCUCCCUGACGCCCCUGCUGCUGCUACUACUCUAAUCUCCAACCUGCUGCUGCUCUUCGCCGGCGCCCCUUGCUGCUCCUCACUCGCUGAAGCGCUGCUCUGAACCCCUCUUGCUGCCGUAUUCUUCUAGGACCCCAACUGUUGUUGUUCCCCUUUUCUCUCUUUACUUCUCACGAAUUUCUAAAAUCAGUAUGAUGAAUAUGGUGUACUGUUCUGCACACAUUAUUGGUGCCUUCAUGUGUUUUAUGGUCUGCUACAAUUUCAAUGUACUUGUGUAAAACUAUACAAUAUUUGGUUUCUAGUGUCUGAAUCCUUGUGUCUAUUAUUGUUGUACUAAUAUUUGUCAGCGUGAAUUGGCUAGUGUGAUGUGAGCCCUAUACUUGUGCUUUAUAUUCCUGUUGGUGUCUAGUGUUCAGUUUGUGGUAUCCGUGUUAGCUUUGUACCUGUGAUAUAAAUAUAUAUGUUCGUGUUUUGAUAUAUUUUUGUCCCUGUCAUAUUAUUGUUUCUUCCCUCUGUUAUAUGUAUGAUAGUUAUAUAUGUGUCCUUGUCAUGUUACUUCCCUCUUGUUUUAGUCUAUGCUGUCAGUAGUAAUCUGAAAUACCAAUAAGAAAGCAAGUUCAAAUCUUUAUAUCCCUCUGCUUCUUUUUUCAUUUUGUUUGUCGUCAACCUUGUUUAGUUUAGGUUUUAUUUUCUGCAUCCGUCUCUUAAAAUUGUGUUACCUAGAUUUAGCCGAGCAUAGUCGUCGUCGCCUUGUCCCUGUGGGGAACACGACACUCGCAGUUCGGGCAAAAUAUCCCGAUGUACCUUCAAUUGAUCAUUUUGGCACUGUUUCCGGGGACUAGCGUCGAGCGAUUGUGUUAGGCUAUAGACUAGGUUUUUCUUCUUUUUCUAGUUUGUGCCAUAUAUUUGUGAUAUAUCUCUAACCACUAACCCUUGUUCUAGCUAGUAUCUUUUUGUUUUCUUUUCCUUUUGCAGGUUAGAGCUAUCUGCUCGGUUAUGGCAUAUUAUUUAGAUUGUCUCGGAGAUGCGAGGAACACUAUAAACAGCAUGUAAACUAUUCAAGAACUGAUAAGGACAUUCACCCACUAAAUGUCAGCGUGGUUACUCUCACUCUCCCGAUUGUUAUGGCAUGAGCUUCGCCCCACAGCCUAGCUCAUACCAAAACAAUUACUCAUAUGGGUGGCCUGAGAACCAGAAUAUGUCAUAUAGGAGCAACAACCCUGAGAUCUCACUGUUUGCUUCUAGUAAUCAUAUGCAGGGAUUUAGGUACAAUGAGGAGAGCCACAACUAUGCUCCACAAUAGAUUUAUUCAGCUCCUACUCAUAUACCUCAACACCAGGAGAUGUUUCCAAUGGAGUUAAAUGGUACUCCAUUUGGUCAACCAACAACUCCAGCAACCGUCGAGCAAUCUCAUGUGCAAGUGCCCACACAAGAUGAAUUUGAUGAUACAGACAAGCUCACAUUGCUUAGUCUCGAGUUCAUUUGGAGUGCCGAGGAUGAUCCUAUUAGGAAGGUUAUACUAGAGGAAAUGAAGAAGAUCAAGAGUGGAAAAGAGCUAGUUGAAGAAGUAAGGAAGAUUGAGAAGAACAUCAACGCUGGCAGCACUAUUUCUUCAUAGCUUGAGCUGAGUGUUUCUGGGAUUACCCUUGAUACAUCUGAGGUUCCAACACCUUCAUAUCCAGCCAAGGAAGAUAGUAAGUGCCUUGAGGAAGAGAUAUCUCAGAUUGAAGAAGAUGAACUAGAAGACAAGGAACAAGAUGACCAAGAGCUUGAAUGCCCAAGUGAUCAAGACGAAGAUCCAUUGCCUAUCACUCCUGAAGAAGUAAAAGAAGCUCCUGUAGUUGAAGAUGAAGAACUAGAAAUUCAUUUGCCCAUCGUCAUCCAAGAGCGUGAUAUAGCAGGUUUAUCUAAUCCUCUCAAUGACAUGCGUCCAUAUGAAUUGUUUCCUACUACCUUGCAUUGCAUGAUGUUAUCUGUUAAAGUAGAUUUGAAGAAGUGUUUGCUUGGAUAUGAUGAUACAUAUACUGUUGGUGGCAUUGCUCAUAUUAAUGAUGAUCACACUUAUUUUCCUCAUGCCAAACCUAUGCUUAAUGAUAAAUAUCAUCCUCAUGUUAGUAUUGAGCUUGCUGAUUCCUAUCAUACUCGCCAUGUUCUUUAUAGCUAUGCAUAUGUAAUUGGGUACUCUAUUGAUGAUUUAGAGGGCAUUACCCCUUUCACUUGUAUCUCUUUUGUCGAGUGCUCUUUCAGGUUUUCGCUACUGCACCGUUCACUACAUGCUGACCAGGUUCGAGGUGACAUUCCUUGGGACCGCGGUGGAUUUAGAGCAUGGUGAAGAGGAGAAGCAAUGGGCACAUACAAGGAAGAGAAAAGCUGGAGCGUGCACGAGGAUAGAGAGCAUGAGGAUAGAGAAGCAAAAGGAGAGGAGUCGCGAUGCAAGAAGAUGUGAGAUCAUCGAGCGAGUUCUACUUCAUAAAGCCUGGUGAGCUAUUUCAUGACCCCAAUAUGAAUAUAUCAUCUAUUGAUACAAGCUGAAAUCAAUUGCUAGUUGGGUUGCUUGAGCCAGUUAUUACUUAUUGUCAAGCUGAAAUUCACCUUUGGUAUGGUGCUUGUUGUGAAUAUGUGAACUGAAUUGUGAAUGCCUUGUAAACUAGUGAUCUACAUACUGCUUGCUUUGCUGAAAUUAGUGAAAGUUAUUAGUUUUGAGUGCUCAAAUCCCUAGUACACUAGAAAACUACCAUCAUUUUCUGCAUUUACUUUGAUACACCUAGAUCAUCAAGUGUUAGAUGCUGAUUUUGUGCCAAGUGUCUUCCCAUCCAGACCAAUCACUUAACCACUAUGGAUUAGCAUGCUAUAUUCUCUGGAUCAGUAGCAUGUGAACCAGAAAUGGAUGAGUGAUGAUUCUUGUUUCCUUCCUUAUGUUUCAUGCCAUUGUAAUUCCUUUGUUCAAUAUGUCAUAAUGAAUAUAAGUCUAGUCUACCUGCAGUAGCAUGUCAUGUUCCCUGAAUCGGUGGCGUGUUAAAUUUGGUAGCUUGGACAGCAAUAAAUAAAUAAAAAUGCAAUAUUUGUCGAACCAUGUGUAUACCAUGUUCUCGGGAUCGGUGGUAUGUUCCUUUGAUGAGACUGAUAAAAUAUUAUCAUUGCUUCCUUCAAAAUUCAAUAAGUAGUUUAGCCAUAAUGUUGUGUUCCUGGUAACAAGUAUUUCUGGGGAUCAUGCUCUCUUUAGGAACCUUUUGGCACAAUCUGCAUUUAAACUUGUUGAUCCACUUUAUCAUUGUAAAAGUUUAAAAUGAUCGAGUCUACUAGUAUCCUAUUGCUUUGUAGCAUCCUAACCAUUAAUCUUCACUAACUAAGUCUGAAGCAUGCAUUGUUUGGAGAUCUACUUUACUAGGACCUUCUCUAGUCAGUUCACUAUUCAUACUCUUGCUCUUGUGAUAUGCCUUUGCUUGAGGACAAGAAAGAUUUAAGUGUGGGGGAACUUGCUAUAGAAUUUCCUCAUAUAAUCUUUUUAGCCUUUUUGCAUCAAAUUGUAAUCAUAUUUUCAUAUUAUUUACUCGAAAGAUAUUCAAAUACGCAUAUUAUGUCACAUUUACAACACUACUCCAUCUUUUGCAGAAAAUGGCGAAAAGGCCCAAAUCCUUCUAUAUUACAGUGUCUAAGAGGUUGUGGUUGCUGCAUUUUGCGAAGGGACUCGAGUAUGAAGAAUUAAUGAAACGAAGGGCCAACACUAAAGAAGAAAGGGAUCUACUUGAGGCUGAAGAAGAGAAGAAGGAGGGCAAAAGUGCAAAAUGGCAGAUCAGGGAGGGGAUCAAAAUCCCUAGCAGCCUCCAUUUCGAAACCGAGCCUGGCACACAUCUCUCUCCCUCAUCCCUCCUUCUCCACCUCCGGCCGCCGCCGCGGCCAGGCCGGCGUGGCGACAUGUCACCAGCUCCACCACUCCACCACAACCAGCAUCACCACCCAUCCAUCCAUCCGCACCACAUCCACCUCACGCAACUCACCAGACAGAGGGCCGGCGGUGCCUGAUCCAUCACGCGCCCAACGCCUGUGUUGCCCUCUUCCCCCAUCUCCCUGAUGCCCUUCUACUCCUCCUCUUGCUGUUGUCUUCUUCCCUGAACUCCUAACCCUGCUAUUGCUCUUCUUCUUUUUCUUCUCUCAACGCUCCUGCUGCUCCUUCUCCUUGCAUCCCCUUGCUUUUGUUGCCUCAACCUGCUGCUUCUCUCUCCCUGACGCCCCUGCUGCUGCUAAUACUCUAAUCUCCAACCUGCUGCUGCUCUUCGCCAGUGCCCCCUUGCUGCUCCUCACUCGCUGAAGCUCUGCUCUGAACCCCUCUUGCUGCCGUAUUCUUCUAGGACCCCAACUGUUGUUGUUCCCCUUUUCUCUCUUUACUUCUCACGAAUUUCUAAAAUCAUUAUGAUGAAUAUGGUGUACUGUUCUGCACACAUUAUUGGUGCCUUCGUGUGUUUUAUGGUCUGCUAUAAUUUCAAUGUACUUGUGGAAAACUAUACAAUAUUUGGUUUCUAGUGUCUGAAUCCUUGUGUCUAUUAUUGUUGUACUAA